Non-coding RNA from Lactuca sativa (garden lettuce), 1979 nucleotides. Lineage: Eukaryota; Viridiplantae; Streptophyta; Magnoliopsida; Asterales; Asteraceae. The record is from RefSeq and is a predicted model, not a curated record.
AUCACACCAAAGAAACCCCAAAUCCUUUCUUUCUCCUUUCUCUUCUCUUUUCUGAUUCAUGGACUGCUAAGUACAUCACCUGAAAUGGUGAUUUUUGCCAAUGAAGAAGCAUCAGCCCCUCCUUUCAUCUUCUUCAUUUCCUGCCAAGGACCACAGGUUGUGGGUGGCUGUUUCCGGCGAAACCAAGAUGGGUAGCAUCCCCGUUUUCUUUCUUGUGCCUUACCUGUCAAUGGAAUCAACCCAAACCUCCACCAGAAGUGGAGAUUUCCCUGCAAUCAAGAAGACAUCAAGCCAAACACACCCUAUUAUUGUUGUUGCUUUGCCCAUAUGACUAACAUGUGACAAGAAAGGAACCCACGAGGGUUCGCCGGAGAACGCCCACUGCCACUUUGCUCCGCCACCACCGCUGUUGACAACAGCCACCACCGAGCCGCUUUUCUGCUUUCGCAUCCUUCCCUUCCGGUUCACCGAUCUCAGCCAAAUACCCCAAACCCAAUCGUUGUUGCUUGUUGUUCUGAAUUCUUUUCCGAGUUGUUGCCGUCGGCGACAGAAUCACAAAGACCAAGGAUGGAUCGCCUUUUUUUGACGGACUUCUUCUUCCCUCCUCUUUGCGAUUGGUUUCCUCCACCGAACCACCUGCUGCCGCCUUCAAUUUCCUUUUCCCUCUGCUUGAUAGAUGAGAAGCGUAUGACUGCUUCAUUCGCGUUUCUUUUGGUCGUCCGAAGAAGACGUGUCUCCUUUGCUAUAUUUGGGGAAUGUGGCAAAACAGUCCCUGUGUUUAAUACUUUAAAUUAAAAUUGACCCCUUUGACAUAAAUCCUUUCAAGGCAAAUCCUAUUGGACUCAGUCCUUACAAAAUGGUCCUUAUGUUGUUUUAAAAGAUCAAAAAUAGUCCCUUUUGGUUUAAUUCUUUACCAAAAGGAAUUCUUUUGGUUUGAUAUUUUACAAAACAAACCCGAAAAUGUUUUAAAGUCCAAGAAUGGUUACUUACGGUUAUUCACGAAAAGCUUCACCAAAACGAACCGGGAUCGAGAUCACGCAUCGAAUGUGAGUUUCUAUGGCCCCUGUUUUACAGUUUUAAUAUUUGGGGGAGAACACAUGAGUGUCUAUUAACAUCAUUAAAAACUAAUAAAGAAAUCAAUAACCUUACUAAUGAAAUAGCUUUGCAUCGUUCAAUAACCUUGUAACAAAACAAUAACGUCGUUAAAAACUAAUAAAGAAAUCAAUAUAUUAAUUAUUGUAACAUCCCGGAAUCGCAAGAGUAGAGUUGAAGGGCUAAAAGUGUAAGUUUUAGAGGAUGACUCGGCGAGUCCAUGGCUGACUCGGCGAGUCAGGUCGCGGUCAUGGUCGCGUGUCAAGUGGCCUACUCGGCGAGUCCCUAGGAUGGACUCGGCGAGUAGGUGCUGUAUGGAGAAAACCCUAAUUUUCGGGGUUGAGUCCUAUAUAAAGAGCAUUAUACCCCUCCACAGCCUCCCUUAUCCCCCCCCCCCCCCCCCCCCCUUGAGUUCCAGAAACCCUAAAUUCGUGGAGAAAUCAUUUGUGGAGAAAAUUAGAGCUUGGAGAGGUGUUGUUUGAAGAGAUCUUGAAGGAGAAGUGGCUUGGAUCAAAGGGCUUUGCUUGGAUUCGAGUUUGGCUGCUUUUGAGGCAUCUUUUGGAGUGGAGGAGUUCGUGUCAGAGUUCGGAGCAGCAGGAUCUUAUCUUUUCAGCCGACAGUUUCGAGGAUUUUCGUGUAGUUCUUGAUCAAGAGUUGGGAUUGAUAUUGAAGCUAAGAGACAUGAUGAUUGGUUGGAUACAUUAAGGGUUUUAGAGCUUCUUCAGACAGCUUAAUGACGAGUUACUGAAACAAGAAGGUGCCCCUUUAUAGCAAUGUAGCAUUAGGUUAUAUAGUUAGGGAAAACCUCUUAAUAACAAUGUACAAUUAGAUCCCUUUAAUAUAAAUGUAUUACAAUUUUUUGACAUGAUGUUAUUGGAUGAAAUUGA